GAUCAUAUCACAUUGAAAGACCGGUUCUCGUACGAUCACCGAGGUUAAACAACGUCGAGCCUGGUUAGCACCUACAUGGGUGACCUCUUUGGAAUACCAGGUGCC
This is a non-coding RNA of Acanthosepion pharaonis, 105 nucleotides long. Lineage: Eukaryota; Metazoa; Mollusca; Cephalopoda; Sepiida; Sepiidae. The record is from the annotation of a GenBank genome assembly.